UACGUAGGGUGCGAGCGUUAAUCGGAAUUACUGGGCGUAAAGCGUGCGCAGGCGGCGGCACAAGUCAGGUGUGAAAUCCCCGGGCUUAACCUGGGAAUUGCGCUUGAAACUAGGUCGCUUGAGUGUGGCAGAGGGGGGUGGAAUUCCACGUGUAGCAGUGAAAUGCGUAGAGAUGUGGAGGAACACCGAUGGCGAAGGCAGCCCCCUGGGUCAACACUGACGCUCAUGCACGAAAGCGUGGGGAGCAAACAGG
This 253-nucleotide ribosomal RNA is filed under the name uncultured bacterium. RNAcentral describes it as "partial 16S ribosomal RNA". It matches the Rfam family "Bacterial small subunit ribosomal RNA", at positions 524 to 776 of the family's 1533-position model. The record is from RNAcentral.